UAUCGGAUUGAUACUAAGCCAUGUGAGUCAUUGUAGCAAUACAAGGCAGACGGCUCAGUAACGCGUAGUCAAUCUACCCUAUGGACGGGAAUAACCUCGGGAAACUGAGAAUAAUGCCCGAUAGAACAUUAUGCCUGGAAUGGUUUAUGUUUUAAAUGAUUUAUCGCCGUAGGAUGGGACUGCGGCCUAUCAGUUUGUUGGUGAGGUAAUGGCCCACCAAGACUAUUACAGGUACGGGCUCUGAGAGGAGUAGCCCGGAGAUGGGUACUGAGACACGGACCCAGGCCCUAUGGGGCGCAGCAGGCGAGAAAACUUUGCAAUGUGCGAAAGCACGACAAGGUUAACCCGAGUGGUUUCUGCUAAAGAAACCUUUUGUUAGUCCUAGAAACACUAGUGAAUAAGGGGUGGGCAAGUU
RNAcentral lists this ribosomal RNA (415 nucleotides) under uncultured archaeon CRE-FL3a. RNAcentral describes it as "bacterial SSU rRNA". It matches the Rfam family "Archaeal small subunit ribosomal RNA", at positions 31 to 452 of the family's 1478-position model. The record is from RNAcentral.